CCUGUUCUUCAUUUCUCCCUGGAAAUUAAAUUGGGACUCUCUUUCUCUGGCCUCAUACAUCCUUAGUUUCUUCACAGCUCUGUUCAGAAGCCUCUUGCACCUGUGACAUUCUUUCUGCAGUUCAAUAUUUCUUUUCAUUUCCUGGUCAAGACGUGCUUCAACUGGUCGUUUCAACUCUACCAGCUUCUUCACUUUCUUUCUUUCACUCUCACACUGUUCCAAGAGCUCAGCCUUUUCCCUAUCAAGUUGAGCAAGACGAUCUUCAAGGUGGGCUCUUGACUUCAGUUCUUCCUCCCACAUAUUGCGUGAGUCUUUUGAUGUCAUAGCCAACAUAUUCUGCUUUUGCAUCUGCUGAUGUUGGUAUUCUUCUGCAGCUGUCUGCGCUGUCCGUAAACCAGUUAUCAAGUCCUCUAGUCGAUUAUGAACUGAGGUUGAGGCUUGCAGGUCCUUCUGAAGAGCUUCAAUUCUA
Molecule: long non-coding RNA, 469 nt
Filed under: Gallus gallus (chicken)
Lineage: Eukaryota; Metazoa; Chordata; Aves; Galliformes; Phasianidae
Source: RNAcentral